This 540-nucleotide ribosomal RNA is filed under the name uncultured bacterium. RNAcentral's name for it is "bacterial SSU rRNA". It matches the Rfam family "Bacterial small subunit ribosomal RNA", at positions 777 to 1319 of the family's 1533-position model. The record is from RNAcentral.
AAUAGAUACCCUGGUAGUCCACGCCGUAAACGAUGAGUGCUAAGUGUUAGGGGGUUUCCGCCCCUUAGUGCUGCAGCUAACGCAUUAAGCACUCCGCCUGGGGAGUACGGUCGCAAGACUGAAACUCAAAGGAAUUGACGGGGGCCCGCACAAGCGGUGGAGCAUGUGGUUUAAUUCGAAGCAACGCGAAGAACCUUACCAGGUCUUGACAUCCCAUUGACCGCUAUGGAGACAUGGCUUUCCCUUCGGGGACAGUGGUGACAGGUGGUGCAUGGUUGUCGUCAGCUCGUGUCGUGAGAUGUUGGGUUAAGUCCCGCAACGAGCGCAACCCUUGUUCUUAGUUGCCAUCAUUUAGUUGGGCACUCUAAGGAGACUGCCGGUGACAAACCGGAGGAAGGUGGGGAUGACGUCAAAUCAUCAUGCCCCUUAUGACCUGGGCUACACACGUGCUACAAUGGACGGUACAACGGUUGCCAACCGCGAGGGGAGCUAAUCCGAUAAACCGUUCUCAGUUCGGAUUGUAGGCUGCAACUCGCCUAC